Molecule: ribosomal RNA, 323 nt
Filed under: uncultured bacterium
Lineage: Bacteria
Description: bacterial SSU rRNA
Rfam family: Bacterial small subunit ribosomal RNA
Source: RNAcentral
AACGAACGCUGGCGGCGUGCCUAACACAUGCAAGUCGAACGAGAAAGGGGACUUCGGUCCCUGAGUACAGUGGCGCACGGGUGAGUAACACGUGGGUAAUCUACCCGGAGAUUCGGGACAACAUCUCGAAAGGGGUGCUAAUACCGGAUAAGCCUACGACGUCUUCGGACGAUGCAGGAAAAGGUGGGGAUUUUUCGGAACCUACCGUCCCGGAUGAGCCCGCGGCCCAUUAGCUAGUUGGCGGGGUAAUGGCCCACCAAGGCGACGAUGGGUAGCUGGUCUGAGAGGAUGAUCAGCCACACUGGAACUGAGACACGGUCCAG